UGGCAAGCUGGAGACCCAAGAAGAGCCAAUAUUUCAGUUUGAGUCUGAAGGCAGGAAAAGACUAAUGUCCCAUCUCAAAGCAGUCAGGCAGAGGGAGUUCCAUCUUGUUCUCACUCAAGGAAGGAUGGCGCAGUGCUCCCGCUGUUCCGAGGCUCAGCUACCCUGACGGAGGCAGGGAAUUUUGAUCAGCUUCUGAAGAAUCACCUCAUCUCUCCCUGCAGAGAGCCCAGAGCACAAGACUUCACGUUAUGUCAACAUCUCUUGCAAAAGCCCAGCUCCUAGAGAGCAGGAGCCUUCCCAGACUGUGUCAAAUUACCUCGGGGAUGGAGAGACUUACAUGGCACUAACAGAAAUCAAAUGGCAGAGCUCAGGCUUCCGGUAAGAGCAGGUCCUGGCUCCUUCCUUACAUGAGGACCUGUCCAACACUGCUUGCUAUCUCCUCCUGUGCCAUCUGAAAUCUGUGCCUCAAGCCGACCAGCAGCCUUCUAAAUCUCUUUAUUCUAAAUUUGGCGCAAACUUCUUUCAUCUGUGACUUUUGGAAUCUUCUGCUGCAUCACCCCAUGAUCCAACUUGGAGUUGGGAGCUGUUUCACUGACUUACCAGCUCUCAUCAUAAAGAACCUUUUUUAGCCCCCAAAGAGUCUGAACAACAGACCUCCUCCACAUGGAAAUGGUGAAUUGAUCACACUGAAAACUAUUUUGAAGUCAAGCAAGGCCAGCUUAUGUCACUCUCCUGCAGCAGAGAAUGACUUUCACUUGCUCACUUUCACACUUGCAACCUUCCAUUUUCCACAAACUGUCAC
This is a long non-coding RNA of Gorilla gorilla gorilla (western lowland gorilla), 802 nucleotides long. RefSeq lists it as uncharacterized. NCBI's taxonomy places the organism in Eukaryota, Metazoa, Chordata, Mammalia, Primates, Hominidae. The record is from RefSeq and is a predicted model, not a curated record. The transcript has 3 exons.